Molecule: ribosomal RNA, 893 nt
Filed under: uncultured archaeon
Lineage: Archaea
Description: bacterial SSU rRNA
Rfam family: Archaeal small subunit ribosomal RNA
Source: RNAcentral
CCCGCCAAUUCCUUUAAGUUUCUCCGGUUGAUCCUGCCGGAGGUCACUGCUAUUGGGAUCCGACUAAGCCAUGCGAGUCGAGAGGGUUCGGCCCUCGGCUGACGGCUCAGUAACACGUGGAUAAUCUGCCCUAAGGUGGAGGAUAACCUCGGGAAACUGAGGAUAAUGCCCCAUAGGCCUCAUAUGCUGGAAUGCUUUGAGGUCGAAAGCCCCGGCGCCCUAGGAUGAGUCUGCGGCCUAUCAGGUUGUAGUGAGUGUAACGGACUCACUAGCCGACAACGGGUACGGGCCUUGGGAGAGGUAGCCCGGAGAUGGAUUCUGAGACACGAAUCCAGGCCCUACGGGGCGCAGCAGGCGCGAAAACUUCACAAUGCGGGCAACCGCGAUGAGGGAACUCCAAGUGCCAGUACAUUGUGCUGGCUGUUCGCUUGCCUAAAAAGCUUGCGGAGUAAGGGGUGGGUAAGACUGGUGCCAGCCGCCGCGGUAAUACCAGCAGCCCAAGUGGUGAUCGCUAUUAUUGGGCCUAAAGCGUCCGUAGCCGGGUUGGUAAACCCUUGGGUAAAUCGUCCAGCUUAACUGAACGAAUUCCGAGGAGACUGCCAAUCUUGGGACCGGGAGAGGUCGGAGGUACUCCAGGGGUAGGGGUGAAAUCCUGUAAUCCUUGGGGGACCACCGGUGGCGAAGGCGUCCGACUAGAACGGGUCCGACGGUAAGGGACGAAGCCCUGGGUCGCAAACCGGAUUAGAUACCCGGGUAGUCCAGGGUGUAAACGCUGCGGGCUUGGUGUUGCGGGUCCUACGAGGGCGCGCAGUGCCGGAGAGAAGUUGUUAAGCCCGCCGCCUGGGGAGUACGCUCGCAAGAGUGAAACUUAAAGGAAUUGGCGGGCCUGAAUU